CCUACGGGAGGCUGCAGUGAGGAAUAUUGGGCAAUGGACGAGAGCCUGAACCAGCCAAGCAGCGUGAAGGAUGACUGCCCUAUGGUUGGUAAACUUUUUUUAUAGAGGAAUAAAACGAGGCACGUGUGCCUCUUUGCAUGUACGUUAUGUACAAGGAUCGGAUCACUCCGUUCCAGCAGCCGCGGUAAUACGGAGGAUCCGAGCGUUACACGGAUUUACUGGGUUUAAAGGGAGCGUAGAUGGGUUGUUAAGUCAGUUGUGAAAGUUUGCGGCUCAACCGUAAAACUGCAAUUGAUACUGGCAGUCUUGAGUACAGUAGAGGUAGGCGGAAUUCGUGGUGUAGCAGUGAAAUGCUUAGAUAUCACGAAGAACCCCGAUUGCGAAGGCAGCUUACUAACCUGUGACUGACGUUGAUGCGCGAAAGUGUGGGUAGCAAACAGGAUUAGAUACCCGGGUAGUC
Molecule: ribosomal RNA, 460 nt
Filed under: uncultured bacterium
Lineage: Bacteria
Description: partial 16S ribosomal RNA
Rfam family: Bacterial small subunit ribosomal RNA
Source: RNAcentral